RNAcentral lists this ribosomal RNA (530 nucleotides) under uncultured bacterium. RNAcentral describes it as "bacterial SSU rRNA". It matches the Rfam family "Bacterial small subunit ribosomal RNA", at positions 355 to 895 of the family's 1533-position model. The record is from RNAcentral.
UGGGGAAUAUUGCACAAUGGGCGAAAGCCUGAUGCAGCGACGCCGCGUGAGGGAUGACGGCCUUCGGGUUGUAAACCUCUUUUAGUAGGGAAGAAGCGAAAGUGACGGUACCUGCAGAAAAAGCACCGGCUAACUACGUGCCAGCAGCCGCGGUAAUACGUAGGGUGCAAGCGUUGUCCGGAAUUAUUGGGCGUAAAGAGCUCGUAGGCGGUUUGUCGCGUCUGCUGUGAAAUCCCGAGGCUCMACCUCGGGCUUGCAGUGGGUACGGGCAGACUAGAGUGCSGUAGGGGAGAUUGGAAUUCCUGGUGUAGCGGUGGAAUGCGCAGAUAUCAGGAGGAACACCGAUGGCGAAGGCAGAUCUCUGGGCCGUAACUGACGCUGAGGAGCGAAAGCAUGGGGAGCSAACAGGAUUAGAUACCCUGGUAGUCCAUGCCGUAAACGUUGGGCGCUAGAUGUAGGGACCUUUCCACGGUUCCUGUGYCGUASCUAACGCAUUAAGCGCCCCGCCUGGGGAGUACGGCCGCAAGGCU